This 253-nucleotide ribosomal RNA is filed under the name uncultured bacterium. RNAcentral's name for it is "partial 16S ribosomal RNA". It matches the Rfam family "Bacterial small subunit ribosomal RNA", at positions 524 to 776 of the family's 1533-position model. The record is from RNAcentral.
UACGUCGGGUGCGAGCGUUGUCCGGAAUUACUGGGCGUAAAGAGCUCGUAGGUGGUUUGUCGCGUUGUCCGUGAAAACUCACAGCUUAACUGUGGGCGUGCGGGCGAUACGGGCAGACUGGAGUACUGCAGGGGAGACUGGAAUUCCCGGUGUAGAGGUGAAAUUCGUAGAUAUCGGGAGGAACACCAGUGGCGAAGGCGGCGAUCUGGGAAGAUACUGACGCUGAGGUGCAAAAGCGUGGGGAGCAAACAGG